This 639-nucleotide ribosomal RNA is filed under the name Candidatus Moraniibacteriota bacterium. Its description in RNAcentral is "Candidatus Moranbacteria bacterium partial 23S ribosomal RNA". It matches the Rfam family "Bacterial large subunit ribosomal RNA", at positions 1 to 627 of the family's 2925-position model. The record is from RNAcentral. Lineage: Bacteria; Candidatus Moraniibacteriota.
AAGCAGGUUACCAACGCAGAGUGUGGAUGCCUUGACUUAUGCAAGCGAAGAAGGACGUAGGAGGCUGCGAAAAGCCUCGGGGAGCUGUCAACCAAGCUGUGAUCCGGGGAUAUCCGAAUGGGGCAACCCUCCCGUAGCGAUACGGGAACGAUAGUCUGAAUUCAUAGGGCUAUCGAGCAAACCCAGUGAAUUGAAACAUCUUAGUAGCUGGAGGAAAAGAAAUUAAUAAAGAUUCCGUCAGUAGUGGCGAGCGAACGCGGAAAAGCCUAAACCACCGAGCUUGCUCGAGUGGGGUUGCAGGGCUGAUGGACUCGAUCGAUCGGGGUCACGUACGAAUGUUAGGAGAACGUUCUGGAAAGAACGACCAGAGGGGGUAAUAGUCCCGUAUCCGAAAACAUACCGUACCUGAUGCAUCAGUUCCUAAGUAGGGCGGGGCCGGAGAAACCCCGUUUGAAUCCGGGAGCACUAACUUCCAAGGCUAAACAUUGCAUAAGAUCGAUAGCGAACUAGUACCGUGAGGGAAAGGUGAAAAGCAUCCCGAAAGGGAGGUGAAAUAGAACUGAAACUCUCUGCUAACAAAGAGUCGGAGCCCGGAGCAAUCCGGGUGACGGCGUGCUUUUUGCAGCACGAUCCAACGAG